Non-coding RNA from Colletotrichum higginsianum, 83 nucleotides. Lineage: Eukaryota; Fungi; Ascomycota; Sordariomycetes; Glomerellales; Glomerellaceae. The record is from Rfam.
GGACCCAUGGCGCAACGGUAGCGCGUUCGACUCCAGCUCUUGGAUUCAUCGAAAGGUUAUCUGUUCGAAUCAGGUUGGGUUCA